UGGAAUUUUGGACAAUGGGCGCAAGCCUGAUCCAGCCAUGCCGCGUGCAGGAUGAAGGCCUUCAGGUUGUAAACUGCUUUUGUACGGAACGAAAAGUCUCUUUCUAAUAAAGAGGGAUCAUGACGGUACCGUAAGAAUAAGCACCGGCUAACUACGUGCCAGCAGCCGCGGUAAUACGUAGGGUGCAAGCGUUAAUCGGAAUUACUGGGCGUAAAGCGUGCGCAGGCGGUUAUGUAAGACAGUUGUGAAAUCCCCGGGCUCAACCUGGGAACUGCAUCUGUGACUGCAUAGCUAGAGUACGGUAGAGGGGGAUGGAAUUCCGCGUGUAGCAGUGAAAUGCGUAGAUAUGCGGAGGAACACCGAUGGCGAAGGCAAUCCCCUGGACCUGUACUGACGCUCAUGCACGAAAGCGUGGGGAGCAAACA
This 425-nucleotide ribosomal RNA is filed under the name uncultured bacterium. RNAcentral's name for it is "bacterial SSU rRNA". It matches the Rfam family "Bacterial small subunit ribosomal RNA", at positions 357 to 774 of the family's 1533-position model. The record is from RNAcentral.